GUAUUUUCUGAAAAGGUGGAUUGCUGCUUCAAAGGACCUGGACCCAGAGGCCCUGUCCAUGAAUGUUUCUUGCUUGGUUCCGAGGCCACCAAACAUACUGGCUGAGCCUUCUGUAUUCACCCUGGCCUAUCAAUGCCAUCUAUGAGAGCAGCCACACUGAGAGAGCAGCAGCAUGGAGCCUACUCAAGGGUUUGUUUCAAAAAUAUAUGGAAAACAAGAAAAACCAAAAGAGGAAACCAUUUCUAAUGAGGAGACUAGUUCAAUUAUUCUGAAGUCAAGCCCUGCUAAUCAAGGAGUUGGACCGACUGUGACAUUUGGGGAAGCCCCACAGAACAGGAUGGGAUCUUUUAUGAAGAAAUGGAUUGGGAAGAAAAACAUAAGAUAAGGUUGGAACCUCUUCUGGUGCAAGAAGGUCCUAAAUAUUACUGAGGAUCUCUCAUCUUCUAGGUGAAGCUCACAAAAUUGCCCUGGAGGUUGCUGCCUUCCUGGAAGCCAGAGUGAAAAAAAAAAAGAGGACAUGCAGUUGCACAUGGGAGGAUUUUGUGGGCCAUGGUUAUCAGGGCACAAUCCCUUAGCUCACCUUUCUCUGGUGAGAAAACACUUCCAGUGCCACACCUCAGUCUCCUCCCUCUGGUGAAAAAAACACUUCCAGUGCCACACCUCAGCCUCCUUCCUCUGGUGAAAAAACAGUUCCAGUGCCAUACCUCAGCCUUUCCUCUGGUAAAAAACACUUCCAGUGCCACACCUCAGCCUCCCUCCUCUGGUGAAAAAACACUUCCAGUGCUACACCUCAGCCUCCUUCCUCUGGUGAAAAAAUACUUCCAGAGCCACACCUUACCCUCCUUCCUCUGGUGAGAAACUACUUCCAGUGCCACACCUCAGCCUCCUUCCUCUGGUGACAAAACACUUCCAGUGCCACAACUCAGCCUCCUUCGACUGGUGAGAAAACACUUCCAGUGCCACACCUCAGCCUCCUUCCUCUGCUGAGAAAACACUUCCAGUGCCACAGCUCAGCCUCCUUCCUCUGGUCACAAAACACUUCCAGUACUACACAUCACUGCUGGAGAACUGGAGAGUGGAGUCUUCCAGCCCAAGAAGAAAGAAAUAUAGGAUUUUGUCAAGUACCAGAAGUUUCUGCCACACUCAGUGGGCAUUCUUUGAGUUAGUUUUUUUAGUAUAUUUCACUAAAAACUGUGAGAGAGGAACCCUUAAUAUAGGUCCUGCAAAAAACAAGUAUUCAAUAAAUCCUGUUGAAUCAAUAAAUGAAUCACCUCUUCCAAAAUAAGCUUAAUUGUUUAAGUUACUAGCAAAAUGCCUAAAUGAAAAUUAACCAUUCUAUAGAGACAUUAUUGAGUUAGUUCAUUCAGCCAUUCAAUAAAUGUAUUCAGUGUAUGUUUAUAGAAUAACUAUAAUUUACCAACUGUUUUAGGCAUGGGGGGUACAGCAGUGAAUAAAAUCAUCCAACUACCUAUUCUAACAGAGAUUAAAUUCUAGUGGUACAAGCAGCAGACGAACAAAUGAAUAAUUUCAUAUAUUCAUCCAUGCAAUAAUAUUGAAAAUUUUAUUUUCAAUAAAUAAUCAGUGGUCCUCAACCUUUUCGGCAUCAGGGAACAAUUUUGUGGAAAACAAUUUUUCUACAAACGGGUGGGAGAAUGGUUUCAGGAUGAUUCAAGCACAUUACCUUUAUUGUGCACUUUAUUUCUAUUAUUACUGCAUUGUAAUAUAUAAUGAAAUAAUUAUACAACUCAUCAUAAUGUAGAAUCAGUGGGAGCCCUGAGCUUGUUUUCCUGCAACUAGACAGUUCCAUCUGGGGGGAAUGAGAGACAGUGACAGAUCAUCAGGUAUUAGAUUCUCAUAAGGAGCAUGCAACCUAGAUCCUUUGCAUGUGCAGUUCACAACAGGAUUCAUGCUUCUAUGAGAAUCUAAUGCCACCACUGAUCUGACAAGAGGUGGAGCUCAGGAGGCAAAGCUCACUCACCUCCUGCUGGGCUACUUGGUUCCUAACAGGCCAUGGACCAGUACUGGUCCAUGACCUGAGGGUUGGGGACCACUGACUUAGAUUCUAGUGGAAAAAGAUGGGCUGUAAACAAACUAUGUAAGAAAAUAAUACAAGCAUAUUAGUGGGCCAGCUGUAGCAUGGUGGGAAAACAGGGCCAUGAGGAAAUGAACAAGCCCAUUUUACCAGCUGGGGUCAGGAAUAAUAAUGAUGUGGAGUCCCUUGAGUAUGGGGGAGCUACAGAAAGCAGAAACUGAACCAGGCUCUGGCCAGGGGACCCAUGUGCUGCGGCAGUGCUAGGAACCUGCACAACUCAGCCCAUAGCCCAGUUGAAUUAGCCCAUGCUGGCACCCACAUCUUGCUUGGGCACUGUCUCACGGUUUGACACUGGAGAUGGGUAUGAAGCCCUCUACUGGAUUAAUAAAACAAAUAAUACCUUUGUUCACAAGAUGAUCUUAAGAAGAACAGCAGAUGAGGACCCUGUAAAAUUUUAUUUUCCAGCAGAGAGGGUACAGAAGCUGAUUUUGUGAUUGAUUGGAAUGGGACAGCAGUGAGGAGCCACCAUUUUGCUCACAGAUGAAAGAUCACCCAUUGUAAGAGGCUGCCUGAAGAGAAAACAAGGUGUGUGU
This is a long non-coding RNA of Homo sapiens (human), 2625 nucleotides long. RefSeq annotates it as myeloid and AML associated intergenic long non-coding RNA. NCBI's taxonomy places the organism in Eukaryota, Metazoa, Chordata, Mammalia, Primates, Hominidae. The transcript has 5 exons. The record is from RefSeq and is a predicted model, not a curated record.